AUAUGACGGAGUGUAAAUGCC
Molecule: microRNA, 21 nt
Filed under: Medicago truncatula (barrel medic)
Lineage: Eukaryota; Viridiplantae; Streptophyta; Magnoliopsida; Fabales; Fabaceae
Description: mtr-miR5274b-5p
Source: miRBase by way of RNAcentral